CCAACUGUUUUAACAAAUGUUCCUCUUCUCUAAUCGACGUACGCACCUUUUUAGGGUGAACACGGAACGACGCACCUUUUCUACGGUGACCUCUUUUGAUAACGGAAGGACGCACCUUUUAAACUGAUUAAUAGAUUGAUGUAGUGGUUUGAGUAGUUGUGUGGUGUUCACUGAGAAAGCUUCAUUUAAGUCCCAAGGAAAAGAUUUGGUUCAUCAUUAUGAUCUGCACUAACCGCAGCCAUUUCGACAGCCACAAUUGAUUUCGAAUAGAUCUUGUCGAGAAUCUAAACCGCCACCGCCGUCACCGUUUUGGCGCUGAAGAUGCUGCCAUGGACGGAAUUGUAGAGCCCAAAGUCGAGAAAAUAAGAUAUCGAGCAUAGAUCAUGUCAUCUGAUGUUGAGGCUCAACUACGAUGACAAUUUCGAAGCUUCGUCUGUUAAAGCUUCGCUGUUUUAGGAUCGGAAGGUUACCGGAGCUAUGUAUGUCUUCUUUAAUCACAUUCCUCUCUCGCUAAAUCUGUAUUUUUAAAUUAGUUUAAAAUUGAACUUCCGUAAUUGAUCUAGACGUAGAUAUAUGUUUGAUUUAACGAAAAUUUCCAAACGUAGAGAUGUGAUGUUCUUAGGUGUCAGUGAAUAGGUUGCAGGGAUUCUUGAUGUAUGCAAAGGAGAAGGCGGUUAACUGGUUCAAAUUAAUUAUCAUUCCUUAUUUAACAUAUUGUCUUUUUUCUUUAAUCUUUUCCAUGUUCUUAACUUCGGUUACACGUUAUUUGUCUGAUUAGGCUUGUUCCAUAUCAGUGGCAAGAGAAUGAAGAUGUCUAUGAACAAUGAUACGCUGUAGUCUGAGUAGGCUUUCUUCUUGUGAAUGUGCUUGUUUAAUUGUAUUGCAGAUCCAGCAUCAUCCCUGGGACAGUGCUGAUUAUCCUUGCUGGUAGGUUCCCGGUUCACGGGCAAGAUAGUUAAAAUUACCAACUUCCCUCUGUUUCUCUUUCUAUGACUGCCCAUCAAGAUCAAUGGUGGGCUUGUCCUGAAUAUCUCUGAUGUUAGCCUCGAUAACUUUGAUGAUAAGCAUUUUGGAAAGGUAGCAGAGAAGAGAAGAACAAGAAGGGAGAAGAAGAGUGAUGGAGCCGUGGAUGUAUAUAUCUGAAUAAUACUUUCCUUUACUACUCUUUGAUUGUUAACAGUACAAUACUGAACACAAAUCCUAAGAGAAUUGCUUAAAGAUCCAAAACAAACUUCAUAAAAGCUCAAAGGAAAAAUACAAACGAGUCUACUUUUUUUUUGGCAAGAAACGAGUCUACUAUUUAUACUAAUCAAGUUUAUUGUUUUCUGUUACGCUUCAAACUCAAGCUCUCCCUUGUACUUCUUUCCUCUUCCUCUGCGGGCUGCCUUCCCCUCUCCAUUACGUAUACACUCCAAGGUCUAUCAGAGUCUUCGAGGCAAUUAGAGAGAGAGAGUUAGCAAUCUUAUUUGCGAAAAGAUAUAUCAACUGUUUUGAUGAAAGUAUAAUACAACUGGUCUCUUCAUUCACAGGAAGUGUUGCACAAGGGAAAAGACGACCACAAGGCUGUGGACGGAGUUAUGAUCAAAGCCAUUGUGGUAGUUUCAGAGUUGAAGACUUGCCUUGGCACAAGGUCCUCAUUGCACAAGGAACGGAGCGGCAUGAGCUUUUCUUUUACGCCACUGCAUGAACUUGUUUUCUAUUUCAAUAACCUUUUAUGUGCCCUCACGUAUUACUUUUUUUUUUGUUCUUGUCCACCUACCAGGGACAUAUUUUGGCUUGUACAUUCUAUAUAUUAUGUUUUCACCUUUGGUAUAAACAAUCUAUCUUAUUAAA
Long non-coding RNA from Raphanus sativus (radish), 1833 nucleotides. RefSeq lists it as uncharacterized. The record is from RefSeq and is a predicted model, not a curated record. The transcript has 2 exons. NCBI's taxonomy places the organism in Eukaryota, Viridiplantae, Streptophyta, Magnoliopsida, Brassicales, Brassicaceae.